UUGUUCCUGCUGAGUUCCAGGCCUGCUGAGCACUAAACACAGAGCCAAGUGACCCAGCCCCUUCCUGGUGGAGCUCAGAAAUAUCCAAAGAAGCAAAUACAGAAGCAUGCAUACACUUACGUAUUCUGAGGAUUCCUGUGAGGGACAAGUGUGGUGCGCUAGUGCUUCCUGAACUACAAGGCCGUGUGCAUGCUAGUCAAGUGCUCUUCCACCGAGAGACAUCCCCAGCCAUUUGUUUCCUGAGACAUGGUCUUUUGAUGUAGCCCCAAAUUGUCCUGAAACUGGCUGUCCUGCCUCUACUCCUAAAUACUGAGACCACAGGCCUGAAUAGCACCCAAUUCCAUGCUGUCCUCUCCAUGCACAUGAAUGUGAGUGCCUCCUGCAGGGCUGACUGUUGCAUCUUUGUGUAGAAUACAUUUUUUUUUUGCUCUAGUAAAUGAUCCUGAAGUUCUAGGAGACAUUACAUAUCUGCUUCCCUAACAAUCUGUUAUGAAGUGGUAUUGCUAUGUAGUGAUGAUCUUUGCUGGAAGCAAUAACCCUGUUUAGGAUUAAAAUUCAUAAAUCUA
This is a long non-coding RNA of Peromyscus leucopus (white-footed mouse), 566 nucleotides long. RefSeq lists it as uncharacterized. NCBI's taxonomy places the organism in Eukaryota, Metazoa, Chordata, Mammalia, Rodentia, Cricetidae. The record is from RefSeq and is a predicted model, not a curated record. The transcript has 2 exons.